UACGGAGGGUGCAAGCAUUGAUCGGAAUUACUGGGCGUAAAGGGCGCGUAGGCGGUCAGGAAAGUCAGAUGUGAAAUUCCGAGGCUCAACCUCGGAGCUGCAUUUGAAACUUUCUGACUAGAGAGCAGUUGGGGAAAACGGAAUUCCACGUGUAGCGGUGAAAUGCGUAGAUAUGUGGAAGAACACCGGUGGUGAAGACGGUUUUCUGAGCUGCAACUGACGCUGAGGCGCGAAAGCAAGGGGAGCAAACAAG
Molecule: ribosomal RNA, 253 nt
Filed under: uncultured bacterium
Lineage: Bacteria
Description: partial 16S ribosomal RNA
Rfam family: Bacterial small subunit ribosomal RNA
Source: RNAcentral